This is a non-coding RNA of Triticum aestivum (bread wheat), 135 nucleotides long. NCBI's taxonomy places the organism in Eukaryota, Viridiplantae, Streptophyta, Magnoliopsida, Poales, Poaceae. The record is from Rfam.
GUAGUAUUCCCUCCGUCCCAAAAUUCUUGUCUUACAUUUGUUUAGAUACGGAUGUAUCUAACACUAAAAUGUAACUAGAUACAUCCGUAUUUAGACAAAUUUAAGACAAGAAUUUUGGGACUGAGGGAGUACAAA